UACGUAGGGGGCAAGCGUUGUCCGGAUUUAUUGGGCGUAAAGAGCGUGUAGGCGGCCAGAUAGGUCUGUUGUGAAAACUCGAGGCUCAACCUCGAGACGCCGAUGGAAACCAUUUGGCUAGAGUCCGGAAGAGGAGAGUGGAAUUCCUGGUGUAGCGGUGAAAUGCGCAGAUAUCUGGAGGAACACCGGUGGCGAAGGCGGCGUUCUGGACUGCAACUGACACUGAUGAACGAAAGCCAGGGGAGCAAACGGG
This 253-nucleotide ribosomal RNA is filed under the name uncultured bacterium. Its description in RNAcentral is "partial 16S ribosomal RNA". It matches the Rfam family "Bacterial small subunit ribosomal RNA", at positions 524 to 776 of the family's 1533-position model. The record is from RNAcentral.